GAUGCAGCGGGCGUUUCAAUCAUUGGCGGAUCUGCUUGGGAGGAAGCGGCGAUCGCCUUGAAUUAGCGAGAAGAAGCCUCACGGGCAACGCGGUGGAUGUCCGAACGGUCGAUGCCGAGGUCAUGCAAUUCGCGGUUGGUCAUGCGACCGAGUUCCGUGACGGUCUGACGAUACUUGCGCCAGUUGUUGAAAGAGCGAGUGAUGUUCAUGUUAAGCCCCUUUCCGAGGGUUUGAUCUGCCAGCAGCCACCGAUCGGCGCUGA
This 262-nucleotide small RNA is filed under the name Rhizobium etli bv. mimosae str. Mim1. Its description in RNAcentral is "miscellaneous other RNA". The record is from RNAcentral. Lineage: Bacteria; Pseudomonadati; Pseudomonadota; Alphaproteobacteria; Hyphomicrobiales; Rhizobiaceae.